This 431-nucleotide ribosomal RNA is filed under the name Chlorepyris sp. Its description in RNAcentral is "partial large subunit ribosomal RNA". Lineage: Eukaryota; Metazoa; Arthropoda; Insecta; Hymenoptera; Bethylidae. The record is from RNAcentral.
CAUUUCUUUAAGAUAAAAAUUUAAAGUAAAUUCUGCCCAAUGAUUGAAAUAUUAAAUGGCUGCAGUAUUUUGACUGUACAAAGGUAGCAUAAUAAAUUGUUUUUUAAUUGAAAGCUUGAAUGAAUGAAUAAAUGAAUUAUAAACUUUAUUAAAAAAUUAUUUUGAAAUUUAUUUUUAAGUUAAAAAGCUUAAAUAAAUUAAUGGGACGAUAAGACCCUAUAGAAUUUUAUAUAAAGUUUAAUUAAAAAUAAUUUAUAUUUUUAUUAAAAAUUAUAUUUUUUUGGGAGGAAAUUAAAAUUUAAUUAACUUUUAAUAAACUUAAACAAUAAUAAUUGUUUUAUAUUUUGAAUUUAUUUUAUAAAUUUUAGAUUAAAUUACCUUAGGGAUAACAGCGUAAUAUUUUUUAAUAGUUCAUAUUGAAAAAAAUGUUU